This is a long non-coding RNA of Asterias rubens (European starfish), 2151 nucleotides long. RefSeq lists it as uncharacterized. The record is from RefSeq and is a predicted model, not a curated record. NCBI's taxonomy places the organism in Eukaryota, Metazoa, Echinodermata, Asteroidea, Forcipulatida, Asteriidae. The transcript has 4 exons.
CAACAUGCAAAAUGUCGUCUGCUCACGUCGUCACACACAACGUCUUCAAAAUCAGAUGUUUUUACCACAAAACAUUUCAUAUGUGAGUUUUUGGUUCUGGUAUUGAACUCAACUGUGGAAUUAAUCUUCUUUCACCAUUACAUUCAAGGAUACACAUGGAUGAAGAAUCAUCAGUUUGGACCGCACCCUACCUCCUGAAAUAGGAUGAACACUCUAAAAAGGUUGGCAAGCCUUGGUACAAGAGAUGUGCCAGCUUUAAUUGACGAGAGCCCUUGAGAUGCAGCAUCAUCAUGAAUUCACAUCAUCUUCUCACUGCCUCAUCAAGCUACUCCAGUUCAAAUUGUUUGUUGAUUCAAAACCAUGAUGAGAAGAACACUCAAGAUGAUAAGCCUUGAUGCAAAAGAUGUAUCAUCUUUCAGAGAAGAGCCCAUUAGAUGCAGCAUCAUCAUGAACUCCAAUACGUCAUCUUCUCAGCGUCUCAAGCUUCCUCAGUUCAGUUUGUUAUUUAUUCACGGAAAACCAUAUAGUGGAUAUUAAGGUACGUCUCAAGUAGUGAAUUUUACCUAUUGUAAAAAGAUCUGUUUACAUGGACUCUUAGACAACUUACAAAGCUGUAGCGUAAAAAAUUGAAAGUCCUUUAUUUCGUAAACAGAUCUUUGUUGUCUUAUACACUCAUACAUGGACAGCACAUAGAGAGGUUUAUUUAUUGUAAAAAGGUCUGUUUACAUGGACUCUUAUAAAACCACUCGGACAUCAGUCUUUUCUGUUUACAACUGAAACAAAGUUGUUAUUUAUUUCAAAAGCUAUGAAUUUAAUUCAAAGCACAGUGUACUACGUAAACAGAUCUUUACACGUACAGCCCUAUGUGGCUGUUUUUGUUAUGAAGUGAAAACUUUGCUGAAUAUUGUUGUGUACAUUUUGUAGCUCCAUUGAAUCAUCAGGCCUGAUACUUUGCAGAGACAAGUUACGCAGCAAUUGCCUCCAUGCACACGGCUUUGGUCAUUGCCUUGGUGCCCAUUGAAAUGUUCUGGUACUAAUUCAAAUUUCCCUCAGACUCUGGCAUUUUACUGAGAAAAAGCUGCAUUGCCUUUACAGGAAUGAAGCAUCAGGCCUGAAGAAAAAGCUGCCUUGCCCUUACAAGAAUGAAGCAUUAGGUCUGAAGAAUGGGUAAAGAAAUGCAGAAAUCAAAAGGCUACUAGCUACGACUAACAUUUUUUACUGAAUACCAAAGCAGUGUAGUGAACAAUCAUGCAACAUAUAGGCUAACAAGUUUGAAAUAUGUUUUAAAUACUUAGUUUGAUAUUUAUAUGUGGUAAAUGUGAUGUAUUUAUCUCACACGUGAUUAUAUUUAUCUGCAAAACAUUGUACGAACCGAGCAGGGCCUUUGGUUUUAACGGAAUCCAAAUAUAUGGAAACUUGGAGUGAACAUCUGCAUUUCCAUAAAGUUUAAUGCUUACUUUUGAAAGUACAGUACCGUAUCUUUUUACCAUUUUAUCUUGAAAACUAGAUUUCGCAAAUCCAUGAGGACCCCAAAAUUAAUAGUUAUACAUUUUUUUAAUGCUUUUCUGAUGUAUUUAACAUGGAACCAUGGCAAUGCAGAUGGCCCUUCUAAGCUUCCAUACAAUUUUUGCAUCAUCUUUUGAAGUCUGGUUCCAAGUCUCUUAGUGUUUAUACAACACGUAUUCUUAAUGUAGGUGCCAGACUAAUUUCUUCACACACUUGUUUUGAUUUCUACUAUAUGUAUACACUUAGCUGAUAAGUUAUCAAGGUUAUGUGUGUAAAGGCCCCUUUUAAACAACAGGUUUUAAUAUGCCAGCUUCGUAAUUCACAGUUAAGCUGAGCACAGUUACUUUAUAAUACCUAAAAUAAGAAGUUUGAAGGUUAGAAGUCGCGAACGUGUGUUCUGUGCAUUUAAAUUGUUAUAAAAAGAAAGCACCUACAACUUACGCUAAGUGCCAAUUUAUAGUUGUAAGCAUUUAUUUAUUAAAACGACACUUUCCUGUAAGUUUGUUUUUCACCAGAAUGUCUAUUACAUGUAGAAUGUCAACAGGGGUACCCUGGAGUGUAUCACGCACUGUUUUAAGGGUGUUUUAAAUGUUUUUACUCUCAAUUUUGGUAAUUUUCAGUGAUUUUCAAGUUUUUUUCCCCCAA